This 1343-nucleotide ribosomal RNA is filed under the name uncultured bacterium. RNAcentral describes it as "16S ribosomal RNA". It matches the Rfam family "Bacterial small subunit ribosomal RNA", at positions 28 to 1378 of the family's 1533-position model. The record is from RNAcentral.
GACGAACGCUGGCGGCGUGCUUAACACAUGCAAGUCGAACGGAAAGGCCCUGCUUUUGUGGGGUGCUCGAGUGGCGAACGGGUGAGUAACACGUGAGUAACCUGCCCUUGACUUUGGGAUAACUUCAGGAAACUGGGGCUAAUACCGGAUAGGAGCUCCUGCUGCAUGGUGGGGGUUGGAAAGUUUCGGCGGUUGGGGAUGGACUCGCGGCUUAUCAGCUUGUUGGUGGGGUAGUGGCUUACCAAGGCUUUGACGGGUAGCCGGCCUGAGAGGGUGACCGGCCACAUUGGGACUGAGAUACGGCCCAGACUCCUACGGGAGGCAGCAGUGGGGAAUAUUGCACAAUGGGCGGAAGCCUGAUGCAGCAACGCCGCGUGCGGGAUGACGGCCUUCGGGUUGUAAACCGCUUUCGCCUGUGACGAAGCGUGAGUGACGGUAAUGGGUAAAGAAGCACCGGCUAACUACGUGCCAGUAGCCGCGGUGAUACGUAGGGUGCGAGCGUUGUCCGGAUUUAUUGGGCGUAAAGGGCUCGUAGGUGGUUGAUCGCGUCGGAAGUGUAAUCUUGGGGCUUAACCCUGAGCGUGCUUUCGAUACGGGUUGACUUGAGGAAGGUAGGGGAGAAUGGAAUUCCUGGUGGAGCGGUGGAAUGCGCAGAUAUCAGGAGGAACACCAGUGGCGAAGGCGGUUCUCUGGGCCUUUCCUGACGCUGAGGAGCGAAAGCGUGGGGAGCGAACAGGCUUAGAUACCCUGGUAGUCCACGCUGUAAACGGUGGGUACUAGGUGUGGGGCCCAUUCCACGGGUUCCGUGCCGUAGCUAACGCUUUAAGUACCCCGCCUGGGGAGUACGGCCGCAAGGCUAAAACUCAAAGGAAUUGACGGGGCCCCGCACAAGCGGCGGAGCAUGCGGAUUAAUUCGAUGCAACGCGUAGAACCUUACCUGGGUUUGACAUGGAUCGGGAGUGCUCAGAGAUGGGUGUGCCUCUUUUGGGGUCGGUUCACAGGUGGUGCAUGGCUGUCGUCAGCUCGUGUCGUGAGAUGUUGGGUUAAGUCCCGCAACGAGCGCAACCCUUGUUCACUGUUGCCAGCACGUUAUGGUGGGGACUCAGUGGAGACCGCCGGGGUCAACUCGGAGGAAGGUGGGGAUGACGUCAAGUCAUCAUGCCCCUUAUGUCCAGGGCUUCACGCAUGCUACAAUGGCUGGUACAGAGAGUGGCGAGCCUGUGAGGGUGAGCGAAUCUCGGAAAGCCGGUCUCAGUUCGGAUUGGGGUCUGCAACUCGACCUCAUGAAGUCGGAGUCGCUAGUAAUCGCAGAUCAGCAACGCUGCGGUGAAUACGUUCCCGGG